This is a long non-coding RNA of Daphnia pulex (common water flea), 1615 nucleotides long. RefSeq lists it as uncharacterized. NCBI's taxonomy places the organism in Eukaryota, Metazoa, Arthropoda, Branchiopoda, Diplostraca, Daphniidae. The record is from RefSeq and is a predicted model, not a curated record. The transcript is spliced from 6 exons.
UAGGCCAUUUCCAUUAUCCUUCCUCUUUGCUACCAACAUGGCAUCCCACCGUCCCACCCUGUACUCAGCGCGUGUUAAUCUCUUUAAAAGUGGAUGAAAAUAUGCAAAAUUUUACAGAACAUAAGGAAUUUUAGUUGCCGUUGAUAUUGUCAAGAGUUUUUUUUUGCAUUUAUUUAGAGUGGUGUUUGUGUUCGAUAAUUAAGUGUUCUGAUUCUGAUAUGUGAUAUUAUCACCAUGCAUAUCUCAAAAGCACGCCGAGUUGUAUUGCAGACUAUUCAGACUCCUCUCUUUUCUCCUUAUGGCUUGCAGUUAUGAAUAUCAAGUUAUGAAGACUGCGUUGAUGUAUUCACAGAAAUCUAGUUUCACGCUCCUUAUCAGAUGUGACUGUUUUACCAUCCGCUUAUAUUUAUGGAUCAUGGGCAUUCCCAUACCAAUCCUAGUUUUCACAAAUGACAAAUGACUUCUGGAUUUUUCCUAUAAACCACAACAACUUUAUGCAAACGAUUCUCUCUUGAGUAGUAUUUCUGAAAAUUCGUUUCCUUAUUCCCAACAAUAAGCUGUAGCAAACUUCCAAUAGCAGACGGAAGUAAAAAAUGUGCUGCUAGAUUAUUUCUUGCCUUAAUAUGUAAUUGAAAACAGUUUUUGGCUAUUAUAGUGAUGUGAUUGGCAACCAGCCAACCACCAAAAUUCUAUUAAAUCACCAGUCAUCACAGCCACCACCAUCAAUCAUCUGUAACUGUUUUGUGUAUUAGACUGAAAGAGAAUCAGCAUCCUGGUUUUCCUUCCAGGAAAGAGGAAAAGGACAAAGAGAUCAUAAUUAGGUUAAUACUGCGCCGCUAUUCCCUGGACUUCAUCCAUUGGUGGAAACUGACAAGAGAUCAACGACGACUGACUGGCUGACGUGCUGUGAUUCAACAGUACUGCACACUUGCGUGCGUUCCUUCCGUCGCUCCGAGUUGUGCCUGCUCCAGCUACGCGUCCAGCAUCAUUCGACUACCCAACGGACCACUGGGUGGGUCAACCUUCACUGAUUCCUAUAACUGUUCUCAACGCAGCAUAGAGUUUUAAUCUUAAGAUUGUUGGAUGCAUCAUUGUUGCUGUGUGUCAUGGUGAUUUUUUUCGGGACGACGAGCUGAUGAUUUGGGAGAGGAAACUAUUGCGUGAGUAUUGAAUUUUUGUCUUUUAUUUUUGUUCUGUUUGUUGGUUCAAUCCUGGUUCAAUACUGAAGUAUUCAGUUGAGUCAAUUACUGAAGUAUUCUGCUUUGAUCGUUUUAAGCCCAUUUUUGUUAAUUUUUAGUUUUACUUUGUACAUUUCUAAUGAUCCAAUCCAAGCUGCUCACUUGUUAAUUAACCACAUUGAAAUUAUGAGUCAUUCCCGGUACUGCCAGCCUAUUUAAUGUUCAGUAAGUUAAAGUGAGCGUCCACUGAACGUCUGAUCCUGAAUAAAUUAAGAAUGCAAGUUAUCGUUUAUAUUCCUACAUUAUUCUUUUUCUGCUUGUAGUGAAUUUAAAUUUCAUACUUGUUUUAAUUUUUUUACUUCCAUUCCCACAUGACGAAUAUCUAUACCCGCUGUUUUUUGGCGUUACCCACAUUAAAUUUACUCAUUGUUUGGCAA